Molecule: small nucleolar RNA, 104 nt
Organism: Dioscorea cayenensis subsp. rotundata (Guinea yam)
Lineage: Eukaryota; Viridiplantae; Streptophyta; Magnoliopsida; Dioscoreales; Dioscoreaceae
Source: RefSeq, a predicted model, not a curated record
AACCCAUGCGGAGGACAUUUUCGCAUUAGAUCCUUGAAAUCUCAUGUCUCGAAAAGAGACUCCAAUUCCAUUUGCACAAAGGAGAAUAUUUCAUUCCUGAGCUU